This 2903-nucleotide ribosomal RNA is filed under the name Klebsiella pneumoniae. RNAcentral describes it as "23S ribosomal RNA". It matches the Rfam family "Bacterial large subunit ribosomal RNA". The record is from RNAcentral. Lineage: Bacteria; Pseudomonadati; Pseudomonadota; Gammaproteobacteria; Enterobacterales; Enterobacteriaceae.
GGUUAAGCGACUAAGCGUACACGGUGGAUGCCCUGGCAGUCAGAGGCGAUGAAGGACGUGCUAAUCUGCGAAAAGCGUCGGUAAGGUGAUAUGAACCGUUAUAACCGGCGAUGUCCGAAUGGGGAAACCCAGUGCAAUUCGUUGCACUAUCGUUAACUGAAUACAUAGGUUAACGAGGCGAACCGGGGGAACUGAAACAUCUAAGUACCCCGAGGAAAAGAAAUCAACCGAGAUUCCCCCAGUAGCGGCGAGCGAACGGGGAGCAGCCCAGAGUCUGAAUCAGCUUGUGUGUUAGUGGAACGGUCUGGAAAGUCCGACGGUACAGGGUGAUAGUCCCGUACACCAAAAUGCACAGGCUGUGAACUCGAAGAGUAGGGCGGGACACGUGGUAUCCUGUCUGAAUAUGGGGGGGACCAUCCUCCAAGGCUAAAUACUCCUGACUGACCGAUAGUGAACCAGUACCGUGAGGGAAAGGCGAAAAGAACCCCGGCGAGGGGAGUGAAAAAGAACCUGAAACCGUGUACGUACAAGCAGUGGGAGCACCUUCGGGUGUGACUGCGUACCUUUUGUAUAAUGGGUCAGCGACUUAUAUUCUGUAGCAAGGUUAACCGUAUAGGGGAGCCGCAGGGAAACCGAGUCUUAACUGGGCGUUAAGUUGCAGGGUAUAGACCCGAAACCCGGUGAUCUAGCCAUGGGCAGGUUGAAGGUUGGGUAACACUAACUGGAGGACCGAACCGACUAAUGUUGAAAAAUUAGCGGAUGACUUGUGGCUGGGGGUGAAAGGCCAAUCAAACCGGGAGAUAGCUGGUUCUCCCCGAAAGCUAUUUAGGUAGCGCCUCGUGAACUCAUCUUCGGGGGUAGAGCACUGUUUCGGCUAGGGGGUCAUCCCGACUUACCAACCCGAUGCAAACUACGAAUACCGAAGAAUGUUAUCACGGGAGACACACGGCGGGUGCUAACGUCCGUCGUGAAGAGGGAAACAACCCAGACCGCCAGCUAAGGUCCCAAAGUCAUGGUUAAGUGGGAAACGAUGUGGGAAGGCACAGACAGCCAGGAUGUUGGCUUAGAAGCAGCCAUCAUUUAAAGAAAGCGUAAUAGCUCACUGGUCGAGUCGGCCUGCGCGGAAGAUGUAACGGGGCUAAACCAUGCACCGAAGCUGCGGCAGCGACACUAUGUGUUGUUGGGUAGGGGAGCGUUCUGUAAGCCUGCGAAGGUGACCUGUGAGGGUUGCUGGAGGUAUCAGAAGUGCGAAUGCUGACAUAAGUAACGAUAAAGCGGGUGAAAAGCCCGCUCGCCGGAAGACCAAGGGUUCCUGUCCAACGUUAAUCGGGGCAGGGUGAGUCGACCCCUAAGGCGAGGCCGAAAGGCGUAGUCGAUGGGAAACAGGUUAAUAUUCCUGUACUUGGUGUUACUGCGAAGGGGGGACGGAGAAGGCUAUGUUAGCCGGGCGACGGUUGUCCCGGUUUAAGCAUGUAGGCUGGUUGUCCAGGCAAAUCCGGAUAAUCAAGGCUGAGGUGUGAUGACGAGGCACUACGGUGCUGAAGUAACAAAUGCCCUGCUUCCAGGAAAAGCCUCUAAGCAUCAGGUAACAUUAAAUCGUACCCCAAACCGACACAGGUGGUCAGGUAGAGAAUACCAAGGCGCUUGAGAGAACUCGGGUGAAGGAACUAGGCAAAAUGGUGCCGUAACUUCGGGAGAAGGCACGCUGGUGUGUAGGUGAAGUCCCUGCGGAUGGAGCUGAGACCAGUCGAAGAUACCAGCUGGCUGCAACUGUUUAUUAAAAACACAGCACUGUGCAAACACGAAAGUGGACGUAUACGGUGUGACGCCUGCCCGGUGCCGGAAGGUUAAUUGAUGGGGUUAUCCGUAAGGAGAAGCUCUUGAUCGAAGCCCCGGUAAACGGCGGCCGUAACUAUAACGGUCCUAAGGUAGCGAAAUUCCUUGUCGGGUAAGUUCCGACCUGCACGAAUGGCGUAAUGAUGGCCAGGCUGUCUCCACCCGAGACUCAGUGAAAUUGAACUCGCUGUGAAGAUGCAGUGUACCCGCGGCAAGACGGAAAGACCCCGUGAACCUUUACUAUAGCUUGACACUGAACAUUGAGCCUUGAUGUGUAGGAUAGGUGGGAGGCUUUGAAGCGUGGACGCCAGUCUGCGUGGAGCCAACCUUGAAAUACCACCCUUUAAUGUUUGAUGUUCUAACGUUGGCCCCUGACCGGGGUUGCGGACAGUGUCUGGUGGGUAGUUUGACUGGGGCGGUCUCCUCCCAAAGCGUAACGGAGGAGCACGAAGGUUAGCUAAUCCUGGUCGGACAUCAGGAGGUUAGUGCAAUGGCAUAAGCUAGCUUGACUGCGAGCGUGACGGCGCGAGCAGGUGCGAAAGCAGGUCAUAGUGAUCCGGUGGUUCUGAAUGGAAGGGCCAUCGCUCAACGGAUAAAAGGUACUCCGGGGAUAACAGGCUGAUACCGCCCAAGAGUUCAUAUCGACGGCGGUGUUUGGCACCUCGAUGUCGGCUCAUCACAUCCUGGGGCUGAAGUAGGUCCCAAGGGUAUGGCUGUUCGCCAUUUAAAGUGGUACGCGAGCUGGGUUUAGAACGUCGUGAGACAGUUCGGUCCCUAUCUGCCGUGGGCGCUGGAGAAUUGAGGGGGGCUGCUCCUAGUACGAGAGGACCGGAGUGGACGCAUCACUGGUGUUCGGGUUGUCAUGCCAAUGGCACUGCCCGGUAGCUAAAUGCGGAAGAGAUAAGUGCUGAAAGCAUCUAAGCACGAAACUUGCCCCGAGAUGAGUUCUCCCUGAGACUUUAAGUCUCCUGAAGGAACGUUAAAGACGAUGACGUUGAUAGGCCGGGUGUGUAAGCGCAGCGAUGCGUUGAGCUAACCGGUACUAAUGAACCGUGAGGCUUAACCUU